CUGAACUUAAGCAUAUCAAUAAGGCGGAGGA
RNAcentral lists this ribosomal RNA (31 nucleotides) under Ceratobasidium sp. AG-A. RNAcentral's name for it is "partial 28S ribosomal RNA". The record is from RNAcentral. RNAcentral also lists the same sequence under 1 other name. Lineage: Eukaryota; Fungi; Basidiomycota; Agaricomycetes; Cantharellales; Ceratobasidiaceae.